Molecule: transfer RNA, 82 nt
Filed under: Ipomoea nil (Japanese morning glory)
Lineage: Eukaryota; Viridiplantae; Streptophyta; Magnoliopsida; Solanales; Convolvulaceae
Rfam family: tRNA
About the family: Transfer RNA (tRNA) molecules are approximately 80 nucleotides in length. Their secondary structure includes four short double-helical elements and three loops (D, anti-codon, and T loops).
Source: Rfam by way of RNAcentral
GUGAACGUGCCGGAGUGGUUAUUGGGCAUGACUAGAAAUCAUGUAAGCUCUGCCCGCGCAGGUUCAAAUCCUGCCGUCCACG